Molecule: long non-coding RNA, 202 nt
Filed under: Phaseolus vulgaris (common bean)
Lineage: Eukaryota; Viridiplantae; Streptophyta; Magnoliopsida; Fabales; Fabaceae
Description: long non-coding RNA (PVUL_LNC003892)
Source: RNAcentral
GUCAAAGCAUUAAAAACUGGAGCGUAAAUAGUUAGAGAAUCAUUUAAUGCUUAGUCAAAGCACAAACCAUUUUUCUGUUAUGGUAUCAAAACAAACAAUCGGUUGUUUCCACAAAUCAAUCGGUUGUUUUGGUUUUGACAGCUCAACCAUUUGAAAAACAAUUUUCAACCUUUUCUAAAAACACCUAAGUAUAAAACAAUCG